CAUCAGCAACAGAUGGAAAAGGUGACAGCAUGGGACCUCUUCAGCAGAGAGCGAAUCUAAGAGCAGGAAGUCGCAUAGCUGCUAUUAACUUAGCAAAGCUGAAACUUUUCAGACAUUAUUACGUCUUGAUUGUGUGUUACAUAUACUUCACUAGGAUCAUUGCAUUUCUCCUCAAAC
Molecule: small RNA, 177 nt
Filed under: Pan troglodytes (chimpanzee)
Lineage: Eukaryota; Metazoa; Chordata; Mammalia; Primates; Hominidae
Also listed under: 1 other name
Description: processed transcript
Source: RNAcentral